UUAAUUGUCUAAGGCAAAUUCUCAUCUAGUUGUGGUAGACUCACACCUGACUGCUUAUAAAAUUGGUUGGUUUUUUGUUUUCGAAGAGAUU
Molecule: non-coding RNA, 91 nt
Organism: Populus trichocarpa (black cottonwood)
Lineage: Eukaryota; Viridiplantae; Streptophyta; Magnoliopsida; Malpighiales; Salicaceae
Source: Rfam